This 253-nucleotide ribosomal RNA is filed under the name uncultured bacterium. Its description in RNAcentral is "partial 16S ribosomal RNA". It matches the Rfam family "Bacterial small subunit ribosomal RNA", at positions 524 to 776 of the family's 1533-position model. The record is from RNAcentral.
UACAGAGGUCCUGAGCGUUGUUCGGAUUCACUGGGCGUAAAGGGUGCGUAGGUGGCAUGGUAAGUUUGAUGUGAAAGCUCAGGGCUCAACCCUGAAAUGGCAUUGAAUACUACUGUGCUGGAGGUUUGGAGGGGGGACUGGAAUUCUCGGUGUAGCAGUGAAAUGCGUAGAUAUCGAGAGGAACACCAGUGGCGAAGGCGAGUCCCUGGACAACACCUGACACUGAGGCACGAAAGCUAGGGGAGCAAACAGG